GAGUUUGAUCCUGGCUCAGGACGAACGCUGGCGGCGUGCUUAACACAUGCAAGUCGAACGAGAAUCUACUGAAAGAGUUUUCGGACAAUGGAAGUAGAGGAAAGUGGCGGACGGGUGAGUAACGCGUGAGGAACCUGCCUUGAAGAGGGGGACAACAGUUGGAAACGACUGCUAAUACCGCAUGAAGCAUAGGGGUCGCAUGAUCUUUAUGCCAAAGAUUUAUCGCUUCAAGAUGGCCUCGCGUCUGAUUAGCUAGUUGGCGGGGUAACGGCCCACCAAGGCGACGAUCAGUAGCCGGACUGAGAGGUUGAACGGCCACAUUGGGACUGAGAUACGGCCCAGACUCCUACGGGAGGCAGCAGUGGGGAAUAUUGGGCAAUGGGCGCAAGCCUGACCCAGCAACGCCGCGUGAAGGAAGAAGGCUUUCGGGUUGUAAACUUCUUUUAAGAGGGAAGAGCAGAAGACGGUACCUCUAGAAUAAGCCACGGCUAACUACGUGCCAGCCGCCGCGGUAAUUC
This 518-nucleotide ribosomal RNA is filed under the name uncultured bacterium. Its description in RNAcentral is "bacterial SSU rRNA". It matches the Rfam family "Bacterial small subunit ribosomal RNA", at positions 9 to 526 of the family's 1533-position model. The record is from RNAcentral.